Molecule: non-coding RNA, 74 nt
Filed under: Clostridium sp.
Lineage: Bacteria; Bacillati; Bacillota; Clostridia; Eubacteriales; Clostridiaceae
Also listed under: 1 other name
Description: Fluoride sequence
Rfam family: Fluoride riboswitch aptamer (crcB RNA motif)
Source: RNAcentral
AUAAGGUCCGGGAAUGAAGUUCUCCCAUGGCUAUUGCCAAAACCGCUGAUAAAGCUGAUGACUUCUGUGAUUUU